UGGGGAAUAUUGCACAAUGGGGGAAACCCUGAUGCAGCGACGCCGCGUGAGGGAAGAAGGUUUUCGGAUUGUAAACCUCUGUCCUUGGUGACGAAAAUGACGGUAGCCAAGGAGGAAGCCACGGCUAACUACGUGCCAGCAGCCGCGGUAAUACGUAGGUGGCAAGCGUUAUCCGGAAUGAUUGGGCGUAAAGGGUGCGCAGGCUGCGCGUCAAGUCUGAAGUGAAAGGUACGGGCUUAACCGGUACAGGCUUUGGAAACUGGCACGCUAGAGGACAGGAGAGGGCGGUGGAACUCCAUGUGUAGCGGUAAAAUGCGUAGAUAUAUGGAAGAACACCAGUUGCGAAGGCGACCGCCUGGACUGUUGCUGACGCUCAGGCACGAAAAGCGUGGGGGAGCAAAUAGGAUUAGAUACC
Molecule: ribosomal RNA, 415 nt
Filed under: uncultured bacterium
Lineage: Bacteria
Description: bacterial SSU rRNA
Rfam family: Bacterial small subunit ribosomal RNA
Source: RNAcentral